UGAUUACAAUGCCCGAAUGCUAUGCCUAUAUAUGUAGGCAACACCCGUAUCCUACUAGACGAAGAUAAUAACUUCUAAUAUAUAUCUCUAAACCUAAUCAAAUAAGAAAUAAUCAAAUAAUCUGACUAAAAGUAGGAAAAUAUAGAAAUUUUCAAAAAUAACCUAAAAAUGCAAAAACGGAGGCCGAAACAAUUGAAUUUGGGUCCCAAACUCAGCUGGAAUGGCUUUACUAUUCAACGCGUAGACCUCGAAAAAUAUUUUCCGAAUUGGGGUCGAAUGUUGAAAUCAGAUACUCGAGCGAAAAUUUAUGGCCGUUUAAAGAUUUCUGGCACCCAUUGUAAAAAUUACCCGAACUCUACGGAAUUUUUAAGUCAACUUGGUUGAAUCGCGUUU
RNAcentral lists this long non-coding RNA (393 nucleotides) under Ananas comosus (pineapple). RNAcentral's name for it is "long non-coding RNA (ACOM_LNC016466)". Lineage: Eukaryota; Viridiplantae; Streptophyta; Magnoliopsida; Poales; Bromeliaceae. The record is from RNAcentral.